AAGGCUGAUCUUGAAAAGGCUGCAGUAGAAAGCAGGCGGAUAAGAGAUAUGGGAGAUACAGUAAAAGCCUCGCUAACAGCUUUGGAAGAGAGAGCAGUAAUAACAGCAACAGAACUGAUGCAGCUCCAAGCCAAAGCCAAAGCCAAACAACUGGAGGAGGCUGUUGUGCAAUACGAAACUCGGACAUCAGCCGAUGAAUUGAAGGCUGAUCUUGAAAAGGCUACAGUAGAAAGCAGGCGGAUAAGAGAUAUGGGAGAUAGAG
Long non-coding RNA from Amblyraja radiata (thorny skate), 262 nucleotides. RefSeq lists it as uncharacterized. Lineage: Eukaryota; Metazoa; Chordata; Chondrichthyes; Rajiformes; Rajidae. The record is from RefSeq and is a predicted model, not a curated record. The transcript is spliced from 3 exons.